CCUACGGGAGGCUGCAGUGAGGAAUAUUGGUCAAUGGGCGUAAGCCUGAACCAGCCAAGUCGCGUGAGGGAUGAAGGUUCUAUGGAUCGUAAACCUCUUUUAUAAGGGAAUAAAGUGUGGGACGUGUCCUAUUUUGUAUGUACCUUAUGAAUAAGGAUCGGCUAACUCCGUGCCAGCAGCCGCGGUAAUACGGAGGAUCCGAGCGUUAUCCGGAUUUAUUGGGUUUAAAGGGUGCGUAGGCGGCCUUUUAAGUCAGCGGUGAAAGUCUGUGGCUCAACCAUAGAAUUGCCGUUGAAACUGGCGUUCUUGAGUGGGCGAGAAGUAUGCGGAAUGCGUGGUGUAGCGGUGAAAUGCAUAGAUAUCACGCAGAACUCCGAUUGCGAAGGCAGCAUACCGGCGGCCAACUGACGCUGAAGCACGAAAGCGUGGGGAGCAAACAGGAUUAGAUACCCGGGUAGUC
RNAcentral lists this ribosomal RNA (460 nucleotides) under uncultured bacterium. RNAcentral's name for it is "partial 16S ribosomal RNA". It matches the Rfam family "Bacterial small subunit ribosomal RNA", at positions 338 to 795 of the family's 1533-position model. The record is from RNAcentral.